This 254-nucleotide ribosomal RNA is filed under the name uncultured bacterium. Its description in RNAcentral is "partial 16S ribosomal RNA". It matches the Rfam family "Bacterial small subunit ribosomal RNA", at positions 524 to 776 of the family's 1533-position model. The record is from RNAcentral.
UACGUAGGGUGCGAGCGUUGUCCGGAAUUACUGGGCGUAAAGGGCUCGUAGGCGGCCAACUAAGUCAGACGUGAAAUCCCUCGGCUUAACCGGGGAACUGCAUCUGAUACUGGAUGGCUUGAGACCGGGGAGAGGUGAGUGGAAUUCCCAGUGUAGCGGUGAAAUGCGCAGAUAUCAGGAGGAACACCGGUGGCGAAGGCGGUUCUCUGGGCAUUACCUGACGCUGAGGAGCGAAAGUGUGGGGAGCGAACAGG